UGAACUGUUCCUUAUUAAGAUGGUGUCUGUUGAUUACAUGUACAUGUAGGUAAAAAUAAACACAUGUAAAAUAUACACUGUACCUUUAUGGAGCGUAUUGACUACAUAUGUAUACGCUAUAAUAAAUGCCUAUAUGUGUUUGCGGCGCACAUACACUUGUGUACAAGUUUUCUUACUUAUUUAAAUUUAAUAAUGAUAUUUAUAGUUAUAUGCAAUUAUUUUCUUACUGGAUUUUUGUAGCUGGUUGGCCUCUUAACCUAAUAAUAAUCAUUACGGAGAGUAAAGGUAUCCCUAUCCUUUAUAAUUUUCAACUUUGAAAUUAAACUUCAAGUGAUAAUUGAAAUACUACUUUACUUUAUUUAUUGCUAUACGUUAAAAUUAAAGAAGUUUUAAAAAACUUGCGGAAAAUUAAAGUAAAUAAGGCCUCGUGUGUUUUUAGAGGUUAUGUUUAUACAGGUCAAUAACAACUAUUAUUUAUAUAUCUUGAAUUAUUUACAACAACAAUAAAGGAAGUAUUACAAAAUGCGAGUAAAAAUUUAUCAAUGCUGCCCUAGAGGAAAAUAUCACUUUAUGGCAGAAAAUUAAAUGGAGCAAGAAAAUUGAAAUUGCACUUCCGAUCUAGCUGGGGAUCAUUUUUAGUAUCGUUGGGACAAAAGAGGAUUGCUGAAUAUAAAUGUCGAGUUAAAUAAGUGGCAGCAGCGCACUUUGAAGUUGGAAGACAAUCUGAAGUCGGUGUAGCUUUAACAAGGCAACUAGAAAGAUGUUUCAAGGACUCUAGGUGCCUUGAUAAGGAAUAUUUAUUCAUUGUCGCCGAUAAAAAAGUAUGGAAUGUCAGAGUCGACAUGAAUGUAAUCAAUCACGAUGGUAGUUUGGUUGAUUGCGCUAGCAUAGUAACUUUGGUUGCCUUAUCACAUUUUUAGCGUUCUGAUGUUAAUUCAAUUGGAGAUGAUAUUAUUAUACACUCAUUUGCUGAGAAAGAUCCAUUGCCUUUGACAUUGUUUCAUCAACCUGUAGGUGUUUCGUUGUAAACUUUUGAGAAGUAAUCUCCUAUUUAUAAUUCCUAGAAAUAUUUAUUUCAUUAAUAAUAAUAAUAAUACUAUUAUUAUUAAUAGUGAUGAGUGAUGGUGAUUAUCCCUGAU
Molecule: long non-coding RNA, 1139 nt
Filed under: Cotesia glomerata
Lineage: Eukaryota; Metazoa; Arthropoda; Insecta; Hymenoptera; Braconidae
Description: uncharacterized LOC123272914, transcript variant X2
Source: RNAcentral